Molecule: long non-coding RNA, 1107 nt
Organism: Thunnus maccoyii (southern bluefin tuna)
Lineage: Eukaryota; Metazoa; Chordata; Actinopteri; Scombriformes; Scombridae
Exons: 3
Source: RefSeq, a predicted model, not a curated record
GUGAAAUCUGAUUGGUCGUUCCAUUACAACAUCAGCGCGCGCAGCAGAGCGACGCUUCCGCCAUUUUGGACUGCAGGCGACUACCGAAUACCAAAUUUUUUAACAUAACAACAUGACAUACCAUGACAUGGCAUGAUAUGGUGAUUUCAAUUCAAUACGGCGGCAGUGCUAUCUAGUGGCAAUUGUCAAAAAAGCAUCACAGUUGCAUCUCUUUUCUUUUGUACUCUCAAAACUCAAGUUGUAGAGGUUGUGAUUUAACACUUUUUAUCAUAUUGCUAGUUUCCAGCUACCUAUCACCAGAACUAAAUGGACAUGAUUGAUAUCUCCCGUCAUUUUUCAUGAGAACCAUUACCAUUAAAAGAAAGAGAAAAUAAGAAUCCAGAGGAGUCGUCAGAUUUUGAAGAGGCUCAACACUGGUUUUCAUCUGCAGAGCUAAACAUCUCUCAAAUAGACUCCUUCAGCACCGUUGGGCUCCCUCUAAAGAACCCUGGGUGUCUCUCUCAGGCUGGAUCUCUCCUCAGCACAUUAUCCUACUGACACAAAUGUUAAAGUCUGGUGUUUCUUCAGAGUGCAGGAGCCAUGAGUGCUCAACGUUUACUGAAGGCUUGUACACGAGGUGGAAGAUGAAGCCGUUGGAAUACCUGAGAGAGACAGUAAACAAUGGAAAUAGAAAGGGUGUUACAGAAUUUGAUCAUUAAAUGUAACAGAGAAGAAGAUAAAAAGAAUGUCAACAUCAUCAUAACAGAGGAUUCAAGGAAUGAUAACUCCUAUGCUGCAGUGACAUGCAGCAGCCAGAACAUGCCCAAGCUAACAGGAACUUUUCCAGCUGAUGAGUCAGAUAGUUUAUAUCAUGGUAGACAGUUCUUCAGUGCUGCAAUCCUCCAGAUGCUAAAACAUAGUGUAACAGUAGCACAAGUAGAAAAGUGUCAUAAAGUCAGUGGACUGACUAUAGUUAUAGCAAUAUUUGUCUAAAGUUUGCUUUCUGCCAGAGACACCAGAUGUUGUGUUUGUGCUAGUUAUUACCAGAACUUGAACUGGAAUAAAAAAGGUGUGGAUACGCUAAACCUGUAGCUGAUUUAAUGGGUAGAUUAAUAGCCAUUUUCAACU